Molecule: transfer RNA, 87 nt
Filed under: Microcaldota archaeon
Lineage: Archaea; Nanobdellati; Microcaldota
Description: Candidatus Micrarchaeota archaeon (hot springs metagenome) tRNA-Pro
Source: RNAcentral
GGGGCUGUAGGCUAGCCUGGUAGGCUUCCGCCUUGGGGUGGCGGCGACCCGAGUUCGAAACUUUGUGCGAAAAUCUCGGCAGCCCCA